AACGGUGGUAAUGCCGGAUGCUCCGACUCCUCGCAUGGGGUGUCGGGAAAGAUUAUAUCGGUAUGGGAUGGGGUCGCGUCCUAUCAGGUAGUCGGCGGGGUAACGGCCCACCGAGCCUACGACGGGUAGCCGGCCUGAGAGGGCGACCGGCCACAUUGGGACUGAGAUACGGCCCAGACUCCUACGGGAGGCAGCAGUGGGGAAUAUUGCACAAUGGGCGCAAGCCUGAUGCAGCGACGCCGCGUGCGGGAUGACGGCCUUCGGGUUGUAAACCGCUUUUGAUCGGGAGCAAGCCUUCGGGUGAGUGUACCUUUCGAAUAAGCACCGGCUAACUACGUGCCAGCAGCCGCGGUAAUACGUAGGGUGCAAGCGUUAUCCGGAAUUAUUGGGCGUAAAGGGCUCGUAGGCGGUUCGUCGCGUCCGGUGUGAAAGUCCAUCGCUUAACGGUGGAUCUGCGCCGGGUACGGGCGGGCUGGAGUGCGGUAGGGGAGACUGGAAUUCCCGGUGUAACGGUGGAAUGUGUAGAUAUCGAAAAAA
Molecule: ribosomal RNA, 537 nt
Filed under: Bifidobacterium pseudocatenulatum
Lineage: Bacteria; Bacillati; Actinomycetota; Actinomycetes; Bifidobacteriales; Bifidobacteriaceae
Description: bacterial SSU rRNA
Rfam family: Bacterial small subunit ribosomal RNA
Source: RNAcentral